This is a small nuclear RNA of Antechinus flavipes (yellow-footed antechinus), 107 nucleotides long. Lineage: Eukaryota; Metazoa; Chordata; Mammalia; Dasyuromorphia; Dasyuridae. The record is from RefSeq and is a predicted model, not a curated record.
GUGCUUGCUUUGGCAGCACAUAUACUAAAAUUGGAAUGAUACCGAGAAGAUUAUCACAGCCCCUGCACAAAGAAGACACGGAAAUUUGUGAAGCUUUUUUUUUUUUU